This 246-nucleotide ribosomal RNA is filed under the name uncultured bacterium. RNAcentral's name for it is "partial 16S ribosomal RNA". It matches the Rfam family "Bacterial small subunit ribosomal RNA", at positions 524 to 769 of the family's 1533-position model. The record is from RNAcentral.
UACGUAGGGUGCAAGCGUUAAUCGGAAUUACUGGGCGUAAAGCGUGCGCAGGCGGUGAUGUAAGACAGAUGUGAAAUCCCCGGGCUCAACCUGGGAACUGCAUUUGUGACUGCAUCGCUGGAGUACGGCAGAGGGGGGGAUGGAAUUCCGCGUGUAGCAGUGAAAUGCGUAGAUAUGCGGAGGAACACCGAUGGCGAAGGCAAUCCCUGGCCUGUACUGACGCUCAUGCACGAAAGCGUGGGGAGC